RNAcentral lists this ribosomal RNA (878 nucleotides) under uncultured bacterium. Its description in RNAcentral is "bacterial SSU rRNA". It matches the Rfam family "Bacterial small subunit ribosomal RNA", at positions 572 to 1446 of the family's 1533-position model. The record is from RNAcentral.
UAGGCGGUUGGUCGCNUCUGCUGUGAAAGGCUGGGGCUUAACCCUGGUUUUGCAGUGGGUACGGGCUAACUAGAGUGCAGUAGGGGAGACUGGAAUUCCUGGUGUAGCGGUGGAAUGCGCAGAUAUCAGGAGGAACACCGAUGGCGAAGGCAGGUCUCUGGGCUGUAACUGACGCUGAGAAGCGAAAGCAUGGGGAGCGAACAGGAUUAGAUACCCUGGUAGUCCAUGCCGUAAACGUUGGGCACUAGGUGUGGGGGACAUUCCACGUUUUCCGCGCCGUAGCUAACGCAUUAAGUGCCCCGCCUGGGGAGUACGGCCGCAAGGCUAAAACUCAAAGAAAUUGACGGGGGCCCGCACAAGCGGCGGAGCAUGCGGAUUAAUUCGAUGCAACGCGAAGAACCUUACCAAGGCUUGACAUAUACUGGACUGCGUCAGAGAUGGCGAUUCCCUUCGGGGCUGGUAUACAGGUGGUGCAUGGUUGUCGUCAGCUCGUGUCGUGAGAUGUUGGGUUAAGUCCCGCAACGAGCGCGACCCUCGUUCUAUGUUGCCAGCACGUGAUGGUGGGGACUCAUAGGAGACUGCCGGGGUCAACUCGGAGGAAGGUGGGGAUGACGUCAAAUCAUCAUGCCCCUUAUGUCUUGGGCUUCACGCAUGCUACAAUGGCCGGUACAGAGGGUUGCGAUACUGUGAGGUGGAGCUAAUCCCUAAAAGCCGGUCUCAGUUCGGAUUGGGGUCUGCAACUCGACCCCAUGAAGUCGGAGUCGCUAGUAAUCGCAGAUCAGCAACGCUGCGGUGAAUACGUUCCCGGGCCUUGUACACACCGCCCGUCAAGUCACGAAAGUUGGUAACACCCGAAGCCGGUGGCCUAACCCUAGUGG